UGGAGUUGUGAAAAAUAGGAAAAUGAAGGGGAACAGAGGGAAGCCUAUGUAUGGACAAGAGGAACAGAAGACAGGGGACAGGACCCUCCCCACAUCACCCUGCUCACCGAGCUGCUGCGAUGGGUGACUUCUUGGCAGGGUCCAGCAGACU
This is a long non-coding RNA of Perognathus longimembris pacificus (Pacific pocket mouse), 151 nucleotides long. RefSeq lists it as uncharacterized. NCBI's taxonomy places the organism in Eukaryota, Metazoa, Chordata, Mammalia, Rodentia, Heteromyidae. The transcript has 3 exons. The record is from RefSeq and is a predicted model, not a curated record.